This 324-nucleotide ribosomal RNA is filed under the name uncultured eukaryote. Its description in RNAcentral is "partial 18S ribosomal RNA". It matches the Rfam family "Eukaryotic small subunit ribosomal RNA", at positions 1470 to 1796 of the family's 1831-position model. The record is from RNAcentral.
CCCUUAGAUGUUCUGGGCCGCACGCGCGCUACACUGACGGAGUCAACGAGUUGUCCUGCAUCGGAAGGUGUGGGUAAUCUUUUGAAACUUCGUCGUGCUGGGGAUAGAUCUUUGCAAUUUUCGAUCUUGAGCGAGGAAUUCCUAGUAAGCGUGAUUCAUCAGAUCGCGUUGAUUACGUCCCUGCCCUUUGUACACACCGCCCGUCGCUACUACCGAUUGAAUGGUUUAGUGAGGCCUCGGGACUGGCGCGCUCGAGUAGCAAUACACCUGCGCGCCGGGAACUUGGUCAAACUUGAUCAUUUAGAGGAAGUAAAAGUCGUAACA